RNAcentral lists this ribosomal RNA (253 nucleotides) under uncultured bacterium. RNAcentral's name for it is "partial 16S ribosomal RNA". It matches the Rfam family "Bacterial small subunit ribosomal RNA", at positions 103 to 354 of the family's 1533-position model. The record is from RNAcentral.
CGGGUGAGUAACGCGUGAGGAACCUGCCUUCCCAGAGGGGGACGAACAGUUGGAAACGACUGCUAAUACCGCAUGACACAUUUGAAUCGCAUGGUUUGAAUGUCAAAGAUUUAUCGCUGGAAGAUGGCCUCGCGUCUGAUUAGCUAGUUGGUAGGGUAACGGCCUACCAAGGCGACGAUCAGUAGCCGGACUGAGAGGUUGACCGGCCACAUUGGGACUGAGAUACGGCCCAGACUCCUACGGGAGGCAGCAG